CCCCGCCCCGCUCGCUCCGCCCCCGCUCGCUUCUGCCCGCAGCAACCGGUUCCCACGAGCCCUGGGGCGGUUUUGAGACUGGAGGCGGGAGUGGGUUGGACGCGCGUCCCGGCUCCUGAGACCCAGCUGGAGUUUCAGAAUGCUCUCUACCUAGCUGCCUCCUCAACAGUGACAAUCGGGAAAAUGUGACCAUCACUGUGUUAGCAGAAAGCCGAGAAACCAUUGGUGAACCGUCCUGACAAGCUCCCUGUUAUGGUGGAGCUUACAUUCUGGUGAAAAGGGAGCAGGCCAGAAAUGCCAGGUCAGUUAACAUCCCCAGGGAGCUGCCACCAGCCAGUGAUGAAUGAGAAGUGGAGGAAAAAAUACCCCAGUUCCCCUGCCCUUGGAUGGGACAACUCUGGGUCAUGUUCGCCAUGGAUCCCAACAGGAUUGAGGCCCAGUUACCCUCAGUGAUAAUCUGCUCACUAAUAACUCUUUAAUCAUGCAAACUUUCAUGCCUCUUUCUUUAUGAGUGCUUUCUGGAAUCCCCUCCCAAAUAAACCAUUGGCACUAAAA
Long non-coding RNA from Felis catus (domestic cat), 555 nucleotides. RefSeq lists it as uncharacterized. The record is from RefSeq and is a predicted model, not a curated record. Lineage: Eukaryota; Metazoa; Chordata; Mammalia; Carnivora; Felidae. The transcript has 3 exons.